RNAcentral lists this ribosomal RNA (253 nucleotides) under uncultured bacterium. RNAcentral's name for it is "partial 16S ribosomal RNA". It matches the Rfam family "Bacterial small subunit ribosomal RNA", at positions 524 to 776 of the family's 1533-position model. The record is from RNAcentral.
UACGUAGGCAGCGAGCGUUGUUCGGAGUUACUGGGCGUAAAGAGUGUGUAGGCGGUUUGCCAAGUUCGGUGUGAAAUCUCCCGGCUUAACUGGGAGGGUGCGCCGAAUACUGGCAGGCUAGAGUGCGGGAGAGGAAAGCGGAAUUCCUGGUGUAGCGGUGAAAUGCGUAGAUAUCAGGAGGAACCCCUGCGGUGUAGACGGCUUUCUGGACCGCCACUGACGCUGAGACACGAAAGCGUGGGUAGCAAACAGG